AGGACGAACGCUGGCGGCGUGCUUAACACAUGCAAGUCGAGCGGAAAGGCCCUUCGGGGUACUCGAGCGGCGAACGGGUGAGUAACACGUGAGCAAUCUGCCCUUAGCUUCGGGAUAGCCCCCGGGAAACCGGGAUUAAAUACCGAAUACGACCUCGGCCGACAUCGGCUUUGGUGGAAAGUUUUUCGGCUAGGGAUGAACUCGCGGCCUAUCAGCUUGUUGGUGGGGUAAUGGCCUACCAAGGCGACGACGGGUAGCCGGCCUGAGAGGGCGACCGGCCACACUGGGACUGAGACACGGCCCAGACUCCUACGGGAGGCAGCAGUGGGGAAUAUUGCGCAAUGGGCGAAAGCCUGACGCAGCGACGCCGCGUGGGGGAUGAAGGCCUUCGGGUUGUAAACCCCUUUCAGCAGGGACGAAGCGAGAGUGACGGUACCUGCAGAAGAAGCGCCGGCUAACUACGCGCCAGCAGCCGC
This 476-nucleotide ribosomal RNA is filed under the name uncultured bacterium. RNAcentral's name for it is "SSU rRNA". It matches the Rfam family "Bacterial small subunit ribosomal RNA", at positions 26 to 518 of the family's 1533-position model. The record is from RNAcentral.